GUACAGAUGAUGAGCAUUGCAGUAUGAGGCGCAACAAUGAUACUGUAAACGCUUUCUGAUGUA
Small nucleolar RNA from Accipiter nisus (Eurasian sparrowhawk), 63 nucleotides. The record is from Ensembl. NCBI's taxonomy places the organism in Eukaryota, Metazoa, Chordata, Aves, Accipitriformes, Accipitridae.